This 253-nucleotide ribosomal RNA is filed under the name uncultured Diversispora. RNAcentral's name for it is "partial 28S ribosomal RNA". Lineage: Eukaryota; Fungi; Glomeromycota; Glomeromycetes; Diversisporales; Diversisporaceae. The record is from RNAcentral.
AAGUAACUCUGCUUCGGGAGAGUAUUAUAGACCCUAGGGGAUGCAGCCUGUGGGAUCGAGGAUUGCAGCAAAUGCCUUUGGCUUGUCGCCUGAUCUCUGGAUGUUACCUCGCUUUUGACAACAUUCUUGCCACUUGUGGGUACUAAUGCCCAUUAGGUUAGAGCGAUCAAAAAUUUUGCUAAGGAUGCUGACGUAAUGGCUUUAAACGACCCGUCUUGAAACACGGCUGUCUCUUAUACACAUCUCCGAGCCC